RNAcentral lists this ribosomal RNA (294 nucleotides) under uncultured bacterium. RNAcentral describes it as "partial 16S ribosomal RNA". It matches the Rfam family "Bacterial small subunit ribosomal RNA", at positions 775 to 1067 of the family's 1533-position model. The record is from RNAcentral.
GGAUUAGAUACCCUGGUAGUCCACGCCGUAAACGAUGAUAACUAGUUGUUGGGAGGCUUAGACCUCUUUGUGACGAAGCUAACGCGAUAAGUUAUCCGCCUGGGGAGUACGGUCGCAAGACUAAAACUCAAAGGAAUUGACGGGGGCCCGCACAAGCGGUGGAGCAUGUGGUUUAAUUCGAUGCAACGCGAAAAACCUUACCUACCCUUGACAUCCUCAGAACUUGUUAGAGAUAACUUGGUGCCUUCGGGAAUUGAGUGACAGGUGCUGCAUGGCUGUCGUCAGCUCGUGCCG